Molecule: long non-coding RNA, 2659 nt
Filed under: Homo sapiens (human)
Lineage: Eukaryota; Metazoa; Chordata; Mammalia; Primates; Hominidae
Description: HSALNT0070449
Source: RNAcentral
CUCAUCUUCACAUGCUGAUUCAGUAGAUCUAGUUUGGGGCCUGAGAUUCUUCAUUUCUAACAAGUUCUCGAAUGGUAGUUUCUGCUGCUCCUAAAAGUUUCUGGAGUUAAAUGAAACUACCGGAAGCCUCCUUCAACAAUGUCAAUAAAUACAAAUAGCAUCUAAUCAAGGAAAGCUUCUCUAAGGCACAGUCCUGGCCUUCUAACUCCACCUGAGAGCAAAAAAGGAACUCCGGGAGAAGGGGUGGAGGUGCUGCAGGCUCUUACAAGGCUCCCCAGGUUACUUCACACCUGGUGCUGGGCAGACCCACCUAGGUGUGCCAGACAGUUGGGAUCAGGCUGCUGCUUGCAGCCCCAAGGCAAGAGUUCUUGCAAACACAUACUUUUUUCUCAUUGCCUGUGCCUUCACCAUCUGUCUACCUUUCUUUCCCCGGGUCCUUCUCUUUCUUUUCCCUGGGUUCCUGUCUCCAGGCUUCCCAGCAGCAACUGGGGCACUUGCUUGGUCUGCUGUGUGCUUACUUGGGUUUUGGACUAAGUCAAAACUGCAAAAUCUCAGGCCAUAACACAGAGGAGCUUAAGCCAGCAGAAUAAGAAGGGCCCUGGGGAUAAGUGCCUAAGAGAUAUGGCAUGAUGGAACUUGAUUUGUUUUUCAUCACAGAUCCAUUCAUGACACACAAUAUGUGGUCUGAUAGCUUGGCAGGACUGAACAUGAACUAUUCUCACUCCAGCUUAUAAUUUACAUAUUUUUCCCUUGGCAAGACCCAAGCAACUGUCAUCAGCAGGUUGUGUGGGACUUGUCGAGUGUGGUGGCAGGUCCACACUGGGUUUGGCUGUAUCCCAAAGUUUUGACUCAUCCCCUGGCCUGUGGCAGAGUGGGAAAUCUUGCUGGUGUAGCUAGGUAAGGGCUUCCCUCUGGACAUGCCAGGGCUAAGGAAUCCUCAACAGCCUUAGCUGGCCAUUUCUGAGAUGGCGAAACACUUACCCAGAAUUCCACUGGGCCAAAAGUUAACCUCUACAGAAGAGCAAACUAAUUCACUUUGUCUAGCUUUGACAGGAAAGAACAGAAAGAGAAGGGAAAAACUGAGACCUUAGGAUAUUCAACAUAAAGGCAGCCAAGUAGAGGAUUCUUAAAAUCUGUUUCUAAAUUAGGAUCGUCCCACAUUUAUUUGGGGCUUAUUCAAUGACAUUUUCCUAAGCACUAGUUAACAAGGCAUCUUACCACAUGCCAGAUAAAACUGGUCGUCAGAACAUAACCUUUUUACCCUGCGGAAUAACACUUUUCACCCAGAUUCUUGAGACUCUUUAAUUUCCUUACAGUUUCCAACCAUUUAGGGAAAGCUACUCUGGGAACUGAAAGAGGCAAUGUGGCUCAGAGAUUGAGCAGGUUUCUCCUCCCUACUAACAGCAUCAGAUGAUAAUUAAUCCUCAUUGCUUCCCAAAGGACAGCCAAGGAAAAACUUCAUUUCCCAGAUGAGGUGGCUCAACAAACUGCCCAAGACCAGUGUCCCAGCUAGCAAGUAGCCAGCUACCCACAGUGCAAUCUGUUUCAGCCCUUGCGACAGGCUUCUGGUCUCCUGCAACUGGUCUGAGUAGACUUAAGUUCCUGUCUUCACUUGCCCCAGCCUUGUAACACCUCCCUUGAGAGUACUAUUUCUAUGUAGGCUUUUUAGGGCUGAAAUGAGAGAAGACAUUUCCUGGCCCUGAAGUGAGUCAUUGGCCUAGUAAAACUUCACCUAAGGGGUAGCUGACUAGCCAAUUGAGGACAAUGGAGGAAGCCUGGCACCUCUGGAGGGAAGUUCCUGAUGUGUGGAGAUUUGCCAUCUAUGAGAUGGCAAGGCUCAGUGGCUACACAGGCCCUCCGGCAGCCUUAAGCAUCAAAUAAAUUACAUAAAUACUUAGGGCCUCUAGGAUCCAGGUCUUGAACUAUGUGCCUUGGAAAGUCCAGAGUUGAGGUUCUUGCUCUCACUUACUAUUUUCAGUGUGGUCCCUGGGAAGCAGCAUCAGCAUCACCUGGGAACCUGUUAGAAAUAAUUGUCAGACACCAUCCCAGACCUACUGAAGCAGAAUCUCUGGUGCUGGGAUACAGAAUUCUGUGUCUCACCAGCUCUCUAGGUGAUUCUGGUGCAAGUCCAAGUUUGAGGGCCAUUGCUUUUAUCAAACCAUUAUUUGUUGAGCCCCUUUAAAUCAGGUUGAAUUGGGGUUCUCUAGAGGUAAGGGGGGCUGGGUAACAAAGUGAGGCUCUCAAGUCAGGUUACCUGGUUCUCUGCAACUUCCUAGUGAUGUGACCUUGGAUGUCAGUUCUCUCACCUCUAAGACGGGGGAAAUAAAACCUCUUCCACUGGGAGGUCGUGUGUGUCUGGCCUAUGUAGUUUCUCUCUUUUCGCCACCCCAAUCUAUCUAAAAGGAAAUUUACAGAACAGGACCUACUGUUCCUAGGGUAAAAAUCUGCAAGAUUGGCCACAUGCAGGAUGCUGAUGUUAAUACCUUUUUAAUUAACAUUUUAAGUGGUUCUAGGUUUAAAUGAGUUUGGUUCAGCCUUUAAGUCCUGAGGAUAAUGGUAUUUUUAGCAGAAAUAUGUUUUCCCAUGCUGACUUACAUCCAAAUAGUUUCAAAGAUUAGAUUACAACUUUACUAAAAAGUGAAACUUAACUUCUACUUAG